GACAGAGGGUGCAAACGUUGUUCGGAAUUACUGGGCGUAAAGCGUGUGUAGGCGGCCAUAUAAGUCGGAUGUGAAAGCCCCGGGCUCAACCCGGGAAGUGCACUCGAUACUGCGAAGCUUGAGUACUGGAGAGGUUGGUGGAAUUCUCGGUGUAGAGGUGAAAUUCGUAGAUAUCGAGAGGAACACCGGUGGCGAAGGCGGCCAACUGGACAGAUACUGACGCUGAGACACGAAAGCGUGGGGAGCAAACAGG
Molecule: ribosomal RNA, 253 nt
Filed under: uncultured bacterium
Lineage: Bacteria
Description: partial 16S ribosomal RNA
Rfam family: Bacterial small subunit ribosomal RNA
Source: RNAcentral